GACGAACGCUGGCGGCGUGCUUAACACAUGCAAGUCGAGCGGUAAGGCCCUUUCGGGGGUACACGAGCGGCGAACGGGUGAGUAACACGUGGGUGACCUGCCCCCAGCUCUGGGAGUAAGCCUGGGAAACGUGGGUCUAAUACUGGAUAUGACUCCACGGUGCAUGUCGGUGGGGUGGAAAGCCUUGUGCGGCUGAGGAUGGGCCCGCGGCCUAUCAGCUUGUUGGUGGGGGUGAGGCCCUACCAAGGCGGACGACGGGUAGCCGGCCUGAGAGGGCGACCGGCCACACUGGGACUGAGACACGGCCCAG
RNAcentral lists this ribosomal RNA (310 nucleotides) under uncultured bacterium. RNAcentral's name for it is "bacterial SSU rRNA". It matches the Rfam family "Bacterial small subunit ribosomal RNA", at positions 28 to 334 of the family's 1533-position model. The record is from RNAcentral.